GACGAACGCUGGCGGCGUGCCUAAUACAUGCAAGUAGAACGCUGAAGGAGGAGCUUGCUUCUCCGGAUGAGUUGCGAACGGGUGAGUAACGCGUAGGUAACCUGCCUGGUAGCGGGGGAUAACUAUUGGAAACGAUAGCUAAUACCGCAUAAGAGUAGAUGUCGCAUGACAUUUGCUUAAAAGGUGCAACUGCACCACUACCAGAUGGACCUGCGUUGUAUUAGCUAGUUGGUGAGGUAACGGCUCACCAAGGCAACGAUACAUAGCCGACCUGAGAGGGUGAUCGGCCACACUGGGACUGAGACACGGCCCAGACUCCUACGGGAGGCAGCAGUAGGGAAUCUUCGGCAAUGGACGGAAGUCUGACCGAGCAACGCCGCGUGAGUGAAGAAGGUUUUCGGAUCGUAAAGCUCUGUUGAAGAGAAGAACGAGUGUGAGAGUGGAAAGUUCACACUGUGACGGUAUCUUACCAGAAAGGGACGGCUAACUACGUG
This 494-nucleotide ribosomal RNA is filed under the name uncultured bacterium. Its description in RNAcentral is "partial 16S ribosomal RNA". It matches the Rfam family "Bacterial small subunit ribosomal RNA", at positions 28 to 507 of the family's 1533-position model. The record is from RNAcentral.